Molecule: transfer RNA, 69 nt
Filed under: Stegodyphus mimosarum
Lineage: Eukaryota; Metazoa; Arthropoda; Arachnida; Araneae; Eresidae
Rfam family: tRNA
About the family: Transfer RNA (tRNA) molecules are approximately 80 nucleotides in length. Their secondary structure includes four short double-helical elements and three loops (D, anti-codon, and T loops).
Source: Rfam by way of RNAcentral
GCCUUCGUGGUGUAGUGGUCAGCCCGCUCGACGCGUAAGAAGUCCGCGGUUCGAGUCCCGGCGAGGGCA